Molecule: ribosomal RNA, 459 nt
Filed under: uncultured bacterium
Lineage: Bacteria
Description: partial 16S ribosomal RNA
Rfam family: Bacterial small subunit ribosomal RNA
Source: RNAcentral
CCUACGGGUGGCAGCAGUGAGGAAUAUUGGUCAAUGGGCGGGAGCCUGAACCAGCCAAGUCGCGUGAGGGAAGAAGGUACUGAGUAUUGUACACCUCUUUUGCCAGGGGACAAAGACGGCCACGGGUGUCCGUAAGAGGAUACCUGGAGAAACAGCAUCGGCUAACUCCGUGCCAGCCGGCGCAGUAAUACGGGGGAUGCGAGCGUUAUACGGAUUUAGUGGGUUUAAAGGGUGCGCAGUCGGCGUGUCAAGUCAGCGGUAAAAUGUCGGGGCUCAACCCCAGCCGGCCGUUGAAACUGGCGUGCUCGAGUUGGAGAGAAGUAUGCGGAAUUCGUGGUGUAGCGGUGAAAUGCAUAGAGAUCACGAAGAACCCCGAUUGCGAAGGCAGCAUACCGGCUCCACACUGACGCUGAGGCACGAAAGCGUGGGUAUCGAACAGGAUUAGAUACCCCUGUAGUC